CAGANCUUGCUCUGGCGGAUCAGUGGCGAACGGGUGAGUAACACGUGAGUAACCUGCCCCCGACUCUGGGAUAACUGCUAGAAAUGGUAGCUAAUACCGGAUAUGACGACUGGCCGCAUGGUCUGGUCGUGGAAAGAAUUUCGGUUGGGGAUGGACUCGCGGCCUAUCAGGUUGUUGGUGAGGUAAUGGCUCACCAAGCCUACGACGGGUAGCCGGCCUGAGAGGGUGACCGGCCACACUGGGACUGAGACACGGCCCAGACUCCUACGGGAGGCAGCAGUGGGGAAUAUUGCACAAUGGGCGCAAGCCUGAUGCAGCAACGCCGCGUGAGGGAUGACGGCCUUCGGGUUGUAAACCUCUUUUAGUAGGGAAGAAGCGAAAGUGACGGUACCUGCAGAAAAAGCACCGGCUAACUACGUGCCAGCAGCCGCGGUAAUACGUAGGGUGCAAGCGUUGUCCGGAAUUAUUGGGCGUAAAGAGCUCGUAGGCGGUUUGUCGCGUCUGCUGUGAAAUCCCGAGGCUCAACCUCGGGUCUGCAGUGGGUACGGGCAGACUAGAGUGCGGUAGGGGAGAUUGGAAUUCCUGGUGUAGCGGUGGAAUGCGCAGAUAUCAGGAGGAACACCGAUGGCGAAGGCAGAUCUCUGGGCCGUAACUGACGCUGAGGAGCGAAAGCAUGGGGAGCGAACAGGAUUAGAUACCCUGGUAGUCCAUGCCGUAAACGUUGGGAACUAGAUGUGGGGACCAUUCCACGGUCUCCGUGUCGCAGCUAACGCAUUAAGUUCCCCGCCUGGGGAGUACGGCCGCAAGGCUAAAACUCAAAGGAAUUGACGGGGGCCCGCACAAGCGGCGGAGCAUGCGGAUUAAUUCGAUGCAACGCGAAGAACCUUACCAAGGCUUGACAUAUACCGGAAACAUGCAGAGAUGUGUGCCCCGCAAGGUCGG
RNAcentral lists this ribosomal RNA (942 nucleotides) under Clavibacter sp. Its description in RNAcentral is "bacterial SSU rRNA". It matches the Rfam family "Bacterial small subunit ribosomal RNA", at positions 74 to 1030 of the family's 1533-position model. The record is from RNAcentral. Lineage: Bacteria; Bacillati; Actinomycetota; Actinomycetes; Micrococcales; Microbacteriaceae.